UCUGGUGGCUUGAGGGAGUGGAACUACCUCUUCCCAUUCCGAACAGAGUCGUAAAACGCUCUACUGCCGAUGAUACUCGCAAGGGGAAAGUAGGCAGCCGCCAGUU
RNAcentral lists this ribosomal RNA (106 nucleotides) under bacterium. The record is from RNAcentral.